Molecule: ribosomal RNA, 315 nt
Filed under: Salmonella enterica
Lineage: Bacteria; Pseudomonadati; Pseudomonadota; Gammaproteobacteria; Enterobacterales; Enterobacteriaceae
Also listed under: 2 other names
Description: partial 23S ribosomal RNA
Rfam family: Bacterial large subunit ribosomal RNA
Source: RNAcentral
GUUGGCUUAGAAGCAGCCAUCAUUUAAAGAAAGCGUAAUAGCUCACUGGUCGAGUCGGCCUGCGCGGAAGAUGUAACGGGGCUAAACCAUGCACCGAAGCUGCGGCAGCGAACGUAUCACUUAAAGCGAUUCAGCGGGUUACGAUUGACGGAGCGAAGCGACGUCAAAGCGUAUACAAAGUCGAGUCGGUUUAAGGAUACGUUCGUUGGGUAGGGGAGCGUUCUGUAAGCCUGUGAAGGUGGCCUGUGAGGGUUGCUGGAGGUAUCAGAAGUGCGAAUGCUGACAUAAGUAACGAUAAAGCGGGUGAAAAGCCCG